Molecule: long non-coding RNA, 286 nt
Filed under: Bos taurus (domestic cattle)
Lineage: Eukaryota; Metazoa; Chordata; Mammalia; Artiodactyla; Bovidae
Description: long non-coding RNA NONBTAT005899
Source: RNAcentral
CCUAGAGAUAUGUUCAGGUAACUUUUAGAUAUUCUUAGUUUUUAAACACUUGUUUAAUUAACUGACCAAAUAGAUGGAGAUCAAAUCUUUUUCAGCCAUUGUUGAAAAGUAACCAAACUAUAUUCUUACAGACUAUUUUGUUAGGUCAGUUCCAGCUAGUUGACAAAUUUGAAAAUUAUAUUUCUCUGAUAAGCUGUAAUUGGGAUAGUAUUUUUAUUCAACUAAAGAUUUACUCACCUAAAAAUGUUUUUGUUUUUAAAUGUCUCAUCUUAUCUAUUUAGAUCCU